This is a long non-coding RNA of Erigeron canadensis, 490 nucleotides long. RefSeq lists it as uncharacterized. The record is from RefSeq and is a predicted model, not a curated record. NCBI's taxonomy places the organism in Eukaryota, Viridiplantae, Streptophyta, Magnoliopsida, Asterales, Asteraceae. The transcript has 3 exons.
AAUAUUAUGUUCACCAUAGUACUUGAGAGUUAAAAAAAAAAGGGUAUUGAUCAAAUUGAUGCAUGGCUGCACCAAACAGAAGGCAACUAUGGCGAAUUCUGGAUGUAAAAUACCCUAUGCUCCAAGCCUAACUGCAUUAUUCUAGCAGUUUCUUCUGCCAACUAGGAUCUUGCUACAUAUGUUGCUAUCAAAAUUUCUCGUGAGGUUGAUCCACAAGAAUUGCAGAAUUUUAAAAAGAUCAAUGGGGAGACAUAUUGAGCUGAUGUAACGGGACCAGGAUUUUGCACUUGCUGCUAUUGAGUUGGAUUGGAAAAUAAGGUCUUAACUCCAGUUAGAUAUCUUGAGCAGAAAAAUAAUUUCAUAUUGUAUUUCUAUGUUUUCAAACUUAGAUUUGAUGUCAUUCUAUGUUUCUGAAAUUUAUGUCUUACAAACAUAUUGUAUAUCUAGUUGGAGAUUCAAUAUAUAUAGCUUGAUUUGCUGUUAACUAUGA